RNAcentral lists this long non-coding RNA (1801 nucleotides) under Marmota monax (woodchuck). Lineage: Eukaryota; Metazoa; Chordata; Mammalia; Rodentia; Sciuridae. The record is from RNAcentral.
CUUUCUCUCCCAGAUGCAAAUGCAAACAGAACCAAGGGGAUGAGGCCCGCCCAGGUGUGGUGGGACCUGAGCUGGAGGCUGCUGGGCCCUGAAGGCCCUGAGACCUUCCCAGCCUGCACCAUUCCCCCGAUGGUGCUCACCCGGGGACUAAACUUCACGACGCUUCGCAGAGCUGCUGCUUGCAGCUGCACCUAAUAGUAACCACAGUACUUUGAAAUAAAUUCUUUUUUUGCUUAAUUGGACUGUUACUUCUGUUGUUUGCAACCAAAGAACCCUAACUGCUGUAGAGCGGGUACUUUGAAUCGUCUGUAGACAACGCCCUCUCCAGGCGAUGUGGAGACCUGGGAGCUGAUUAUCGGGUGCCUUUGGGCCAACAGGCAGUGGCGGUCUCAUUGCUGCUUGGAUGGCAGCUGGCAGCUCAUGGGGUCCUCUGGCACUCGACCUGGACCCACAAGCAUCUAGGUGCCAAGGGCAGAGCACUGGCAGAUGCCGUGGUUGAGAGAGAUAAGGACGUUCGUUCCCCUGUGGACGGGACGGCUGCUCCUGGAUAGUGCAUCACUGAAGGUGAGAAAAAUUAAUGACUUCACAUAUAGAAAUUCUCACUUCACAGCAUGCACUGAACUCAGAGGCUUGGUGUGACUUUGCUGAAAGAAUGUUUUGUGGGCCAUAGGGAACAAGCCUGAGGUCACUUGAAGUGGGACUCGGACAUUGGCUUUGUAGACUUCAGAGUGAUGUCAGGGCACAUGCCCAGCGUGGCAAAGUGCCUUCUGGGAAAGCGAGGGCAUUGUUGUGAAGCUCAGGAUACCCACAACCGGCAGGGAUUCUUGGUGAUUUGUCCCUUUGAAGACUGUGUGGCAGAUGGCAGUCUGCAGAGCCCUCACUGGAAUGCUCUAGAACGUGCGUCUGACUUCAGCACAGCCUGGGGACAUGGCUCAGAAUCAGAGUGGCAAAGAGGAGUCAAGUUACAAGAACUGCAGGGCUCCUGUACGGUCUGACCUCCAGGAGGCUUGCUGUGGUCUGCAUGUGAGUGUCCCCCAGCAGCUCCUGUGAGAUGGAGGGGAAGGGGUGGGUAGGAGGCCCUUAGCCCAAUCAGUGCAUGAAUCCACCUAACUGGAUAGGCAGGUGCCGUGUGGCUGGGGAAGGUGGGGCCCUGGGCCUUGCCUUUGGGAAACGGGUAUCUUGUCGCUGGUGAGUGGGGCACUGCUGCUUCCUUGACAGCAUGCCCUGGCUGCUUUCCUCCUCUAAACCCUUUGCCACGUUCACCUCGCCUCCGGCCCAGAGCAAAGGAGUCGGCCAUGUAUGGACUGAGACCUCGGAAACCGUGAGUCCAAAUCAAAUUUUCUUCCUUUAAAAUUGUUCUUCUCAGGUAUUUUGGUCACAGUGAUAUAAAAAGCAGACCUAAACAGUGCUGGACCAAGAAGAGUUGGGCCUCCUGUUGAUACUCUGAAUCUCGUCAGCUGAAGCUGGUUCAUGUCCCAGAAACCCUGCAUUUACCAAGCAGCCCUGGGACUCCCGGUGGCCGCGGUGCUGGCUAAGGCAAUUCUGCUCACAGCUUUGCAGGGGUGUGAUGCUAAAGGGCCAGAACCUCUGGUCUCAUGCAGAGGAGGGAGAUGGGCGCUGACGGACCCUCACACACAAGUCCCUGACAGUUUCUCCUUCCAUCGAGGCCUCGAGGUGAAAGCUGGAGAAUUCCUCUGAACCGUGUUCCUGGGCAGGCCAGAGGUAAUGACAGUCAGCAUUCAGCCCUGGGCACCUCUGCUACCUGUCACCCAGCCCCGCCCACAGCUCUGCCAGUUCCUCA